Molecule: long non-coding RNA, 454 nt
Filed under: Mustela putorius furo (domestic ferret)
Lineage: Eukaryota; Metazoa; Chordata; Mammalia; Carnivora; Mustelidae
Description: lncRNA (ENSMPUG00000025073.1)
Source: RNAcentral
AACAAAUUCAAGUUGGAAUUUUCUGGCUCUCCUAACCAGCAUUGUUACUGGGCCUCUUAGAAUAUCAGAGGCACAGGUUCUGGAAUCAAGACAUCAUGAUUUUGUCUGCCUCUGUCUUUGGCUGCAUCACAAAGACAAGAAUUCAUCAUGAGACAUUUAAGAGAUUUACAAUAACCAACACUGCUGUCCAUCUUGGAAAAAAUAAUUUCUACAGACUGUAGUAGGCUUUUAAGUAACAUGUGCUAUCAUCAAGAACAUGUACCUGGCAACAAUGUCUCUCUUGGAGCAUAAAAUCCUUGGCCUAAAGGCUCUGAGAGUUUAUCAGUGCUGUGGGAUGUAUUGAUUGCUGUGUACACACACCUCUACAAUGAAUGAACAGCUUUGCAACUAGUUUCAUCUACCUGAUGACCUAGACGAAGAACAAGAAAGUACCAAUAAAACACUUCAAUCUACC